AUAUUACUAAGCGGAGGAAAAGAAAUCAACGAAGAUUGCCUCAGUAGCGGCGAGUGAAGCGGCAAUAGCUCAAGUUUAGAAUCUAUGGCCGUCUCGGUCAGAGAAUUGUAAUCUAAAGGGGUAAACAAAAGGUGAGGAUGAGGUAUAAGUUCCUUGGAACAGGACAUCAUAGAGGGUGAAAAUCCCGUAUGUAACCUCAGCCGAGCUGAAUGUCUGCCUUCUAAGAGUCGGGUUGUUCGGGAUUGCAGCCCUAAAUGGGAGAUAAACUUCUUCUAAGGCUAAAUAUCUAUGGGAGACCGAUAGCGCACAAGUA
Molecule: ribosomal RNA, 313 nt
Filed under: uncultured eukaryote
Lineage: Eukaryota
Description: partial large subunit ribosomal RNA
Rfam family: Eukaryotic large subunit ribosomal RNA
Source: RNAcentral